This 449-nucleotide ribosomal RNA is filed under the name uncultured Bacillus sp. Its description in RNAcentral is "bacterial SSU rRNA". It matches the Rfam family "Bacterial small subunit ribosomal RNA", at positions 73 to 506 of the family's 1533-position model. Lineage: Bacteria; Bacillati; Bacillota; Bacilli; Caryophanales; Bacillaceae. The record is from RNAcentral.
UGGGAGCUUGCUCCCUGAUGUUAGCGGCGGACGGGUGAGUAACACGUGGGUAACCUGCCUGUAAGACUGGGAUAACUCCGGGAAACCGGGGCUAAUACCGGAUGGUUGUUUGAACCGCAUGGUUCAAACAUAAAAGGUGGCUUCGGCUACCACUUACAGAUGGACCCGCGGCGCAUUAGCUAGUUGGUGAGGUAAUGGCUCACCAAGGCAACGAUGCGUAGCCGACCUGAGAGGGUGAUCGGCCACACUGGGACUGAGACACGGCCCAGACUCCUACGGGAGGCAGCAGUAGGGAAUCUUCCGCAAUGGACGAAAGUCUGACGGAGCAACGCCGCGUGAGUGAUGAAGGUUUUCGGAUCGUAAAGCUCUGUUGUUAGGGAAGAACAAGUACCGUUCGAAUAGGGCGGUACCUUGACGGUACCUAACCAGAAAGCCACGGCUAACUACGU